RNAcentral lists this ribosomal RNA (399 nucleotides) under uncultured bacterium. RNAcentral describes it as "bacterial SSU rRNA". It matches the Rfam family "Bacterial small subunit ribosomal RNA", at positions 356 to 772 of the family's 1533-position model. The record is from RNAcentral.
GGGGAAUAUUGGACAAUGGGCGAAAGCCUGAUCCAGCAAUGCCGCGUGAGUGAUGAAGGCCUUAGGGUUGUAAAGCUCUUUUACCCGGGAAGAUAAUGACUGUACCGGGAGAAUAAGCCCCGGCUAACUCCGUGCCAGCAGCCGCGGUAAUACGAAGGGGGCUAGCGUUGUUCGGAAUUACUGGGCGUAAAGCGCGCGUAGGCGGCGAUCUUUGUCAGAGGUGAAAUCCCGAGGCUCAACUUCGGAAUUGCCUUUGAAACGGGAUUGCUUGAGUCCGAGAGAGGAUGGCGGAAUUCCUAGUGUAGAGGUGAAAUUCGUAGAUAUUAGGAAGAACACCGGUGGCGAAGGCGGCCAUCUGGCUCGGUACUGACGCUCAGGCGCGAAAGCGUGGGGAUCAAA